Molecule: ribosomal RNA, 431 nt
Filed under: uncultured bacterium
Lineage: Bacteria
Also listed under: 1 other name
Description: bacterial SSU rRNA
Rfam family: Bacterial small subunit ribosomal RNA
Source: RNAcentral
AACGAACGCUGGCGGCAGGCUUAACACAUGCAAGUCGAACGCCCCGCAAGGGGAGUGGCAGACGGGUGAGUAACGCGUGGGAAUCUACCCAGAUCUUCGGAACAACUGAGGGAAACUUCAGCUAAUACCGGAUACGCCCUACGGGGGAAAGAUUUAUCGGUUCUGGAUGAGCCCGCGUUGGAUUAGCUAGUUGGUGGGGUAAUGGCCUACCAAGGCGACGAUCCAUAGCUGGUCUGAGAGGAUGAUCAGCCACACUGGGACUGAGACACGGCCCAGACUCCUACGGGAGGCAGCAGUGGGGAAUAUUGGACAAUGGGCGAAAGCCUGAUCCAGCCAUGCCGCGUGAGUGAUGAAGGCCUUAGGGUUGUAAAGCUCUUUCAGUGGGGAAGAUAAUGACGGUACCCACAGAAGAAGCCCCGGCUAACUUCGUG